RNAcentral lists this transfer RNA (77 nucleotides) under Serratia fonticola. RNAcentral describes it as "tRNA-???(ccaa)". It matches the Rfam family "tRNA". Rfam says of the family: Transfer RNA (tRNA) molecules are approximately 80 nucleotides in length. Their secondary structure includes four short double-helical elements and three loops (D, anti-codon, and T loops). Lineage: Bacteria; Pseudomonadati; Pseudomonadota; Gammaproteobacteria; Enterobacterales; Yersiniaceae. The record is from RNAcentral.
UAGGGCGUAGCUCAGUUGGUAGAGCACCGGUCUCCAAAAACCGGGUGUCGCGAGUUCGAGUCUCUCCGCCCCUGCCA